GUGGGGAAUCUUGCGCAAUGGGCGAAAGCCUGACGCAGCCAUGCCGCGUGAAUGAUGAAGGUCUUAGGAUUGUAAAAUUCUUUCACCGGGGACGAUAAUGACGGUACCCGGAGAAGAAGCCCCGGCUAACUUCGUGCCAGCAGCCGCGGUAAUACGAAGGGGGCUAGCGUUGCUCGGAAUUACUGGGCGUAAAGGGCGCGUAGGCGGAUCGUUAAGUCAGGGGUGAAAUCCCAGAGCUCAACUCUGGAACUGCCCUUGAUACUGGCGAUCUUGAGUUUGGGAGAGGUGAGUGGAACUCCGAGUGUAGAGGUGAAAUUCGUAGAUAUUCGGAAGAACACCAGUGGCGAAGGCGACUCACUGGCCCAAUACUGACGCUGAGGCGCGAAAGCGUGGGGAGCAAACAGGAUUAGAAACCCUGGUAGUCC
Molecule: ribosomal RNA, 425 nt
Filed under: uncultured bacterium
Lineage: Bacteria
Description: partial 16S ribosomal RNA
Rfam family: Bacterial small subunit ribosomal RNA
Source: RNAcentral